AUGAGAUUAUUUUGUGAUUUUCUUUUUAAAGCUCAUCUAUAUUUACAUUAUUCAUAUGUACUUUUGCCUAAAAUCCAUCUGUUUAUAAGAAGUUCAAUUUUUAAAAAUUAUCCUUUUCUCACUUUCAUUUUCAUAGUCUCGUACUGCUUCUUCAUACUGUUCUGUGUCCAUGUAACACUGAGCUCUUCUCAAGUAGGCUUUUAUGUAAGUGUUAUCAAGCUUCACUGCAUUGGUGAAGUCUUCUAUUGCAUCAUCUAGUUUCCUAAGCUUGGAAUUAACAGUACCCCGAUUACAGUAGAGUUUUGCAUUUGUUUUUAUAUUGUUGGGGUCUAUCCCCAGGGCUUCUGUGUACAGUUCAUAUGCUAGUUUGUAAUUUCCUUCCUUCAAUGCUUUAUUUCCAUCUUCUUUCUUUGCUUUAAGUGCUUUGGCAUUUCUGCAGGCAAUGCAGGUCUUCUCAUGGUCAGGGGCCAUCCUGAGAGCCUGUGCAAAAAAUUGAACUGCCUUCUCGAUACAAUCUGUGUAAUAAAGGCAAAGACCUCGUACAUACAGAGCAUCUGCACUGGUGGAAUCCAUUCGUAGAAUGUCACUAGCCACAGACUGAGCUUCUGAAUAACAACCCAGCAAUGUGAAACAUUCUGCCUUGAAGAUUUUGAAGAGAUGGCAGGCAGGGGCAAAUUCUAGAGCAUGGUCCAUGCAGAAAACUACUUUCCGAAAUCUUGCUUCUCAAAAUCUGUUUCUGCUAUUUUCUCCUAUUCCAUGACUGCAGUAGAAUUUUUGAACUCUUGCUGGGCCUGAGCAUUUUUAUGAUCCAGUUCUAGGGCUCUCUGGACACUGUGACAUGCUGCCAUGGCAUUCCUUAGAGAGGUGGUAUUUGCCCUCUCAUAGAUGUCCCCAGACGAAACUGUCAUCCAACCUCACUGACUGUUGCGCAUCUCCAAGAGCUUCCCAGAACCUUCCAGCAUCAUCAAGGUGGCUGCUCGAUUACCAUAAUAGCUAGCAUCUUUAGGACACAACACAUAUCUAUGGCUCUUGUGUAAUAAUUAUAAGCUUCAUUGUAAUCUUUCUUGGCAUAGUAUGCAUUUCCUUGUUCCUUGAAAGUCUCUGCUUCCCUCUUUGCCUCUUCGUCGUCCAGCAGCUCUGGCUCGGUUGCCACCAUUACCACAUUGCACUUCGUGGCAGCCGCCAUCUUACCGCCAGGACCAGAGACUGUGUUUUCAUUUUUAACAAAAAAACUUUAAAAAAAUAAGAAAAAUUAAAUUUAAAAAAGCUAAUAGAAUAAGGAUAGAAGAAAUUUUUAUUUAUAAGUAGGACAAAAAGGACAGCUGAAUGUUUGUACAGUUGUACAAUGCG
This 1350-nucleotide long non-coding RNA is filed under the name Callithrix jacchus (white-tufted-ear marmoset). RNAcentral describes it as "lncRNA (ENSCJAG00000078689.1)". The record is from RNAcentral. Lineage: Eukaryota; Metazoa; Chordata; Mammalia; Primates; Cebidae.